GUAGUUAGCCGGGGCUUCUUAGUCAGGUACCGUCAAUUUCGUCCCUGCUGAUAGAGCUUUACAUACCGAAAUACUUCUUCACUCACGCGGCGUCGCUGCAUCAGGGUUUCCCCCAUUGUCCAAUAUUCCCCACUGCUGCCUCCCGUAGGAGUCUGGGCCGUGUCUCAGUCCCAGUGUGGCUGAUCAUCCUCUCAGACCAGCUACGGAUCGUCGCCUUGGUGAGCCGUUACCUCACCAACCAGCUAAUCCGACAUAGGCUCAUCCGAUAGCGCGAGGCCCGAAGGUCCCCCGCUUUCCCCCGUAGGGCGUAUGCGGUAUUAGCCUGGGUUUCCCCAGGUUAUCCCCCACUACCGGGCAGAUUCCUAUGCAUUACUCACCCGUCCGCCGCUCGCCACCAGGGAGCAAGCUCCCCGUGCUGCCGCUCGACUUGCAUGUGUUAGGCCUGCCGCCAGCGUUCAAUCUGAGCCAUAAUCAAACUCUGA
RNAcentral lists this ribosomal RNA (482 nucleotides) under uncultured bacterium. RNAcentral describes it as "partial 16S ribosomal RNA". The record is from RNAcentral.